This 445-nucleotide ribosomal RNA is filed under the name bacterium enrichment culture DGGE band 19(2012). Its description in RNAcentral is "bacterial SSU rRNA". It matches the Rfam family "Bacterial small subunit ribosomal RNA", at positions 958 to 1403 of the family's 1533-position model. The record is from RNAcentral.
AACGCGAAGAACCUUACCUAGGCUUGAAAAGCUUAUGACCGGCUGUGAAAGCAGCUUUCCCGCAAGGGCAUAAGUACAGGUGCUGCAUGGCUGCCGUCAGCUCGUGCCGUGAGGUGUUGGGUUAAGUCCCGCAACGAGCGCAACCCUUACCAUUAGUUGCCACCGGAGCAAUCCGAGCACUCUAAUGGAACUGCCUACGCAAGUAGUGAGGAAGGUGAGGAUGACGUCAAGUCCGCAUGGCCCUUACGCCUAGGGCUACACACGUGCUACAAUGGCCGCCACAACGGGCAGCAAAAUCGCGAGAUGGAGCGAAUCCCUAAAAAGCGGCCUCAGUUCGGAUUGGAGUCUGCAACUCGACUCCAUGAAGUUGGAAUUGCUAGUAAUCGCGUAUCAGCAUGACGCGGUGAAUACGUUCCCGGGCCUUGUACACACCGCCCGUAAUCAC